UACAGAUCCUGGAAAAGAGAAAGAAUUGAAAUCUCCAGCUGCUACAAAAGAUAAAGAAUAUGCUAAAGAAAAGGAAGGAAAGAAUCCUACGUCUUUAAAAGAUAAAGAACAUGCCAAAGAAAAGGAAGGAAAGAAUCCUACGUCUUUAAAAGAUAAAGAACAUGCUAAAGAAAAGGAAGGAAAGAAUCCUACAUCUUUAAAAGAUAAAG
RNAcentral lists this long non-coding RNA (209 nucleotides) under Columba livia (rock pigeon). RNAcentral's name for it is "partial uncharacterized LOC102086787". Lineage: Eukaryota; Metazoa; Chordata; Aves; Columbiformes; Columbidae. The record is from RNAcentral.